GUGAAAUUCCGUCGGAAUCUGGGAGGACCAUCUCCUAAGGCUAAAUACUCUCUAGUGACCGAUAGUGAACCAGUACCGUGAGGGAAAGGUGAAAAGCACCCCGGAAGGGGAGUGAAAUAGAACCUGAAACCGUGUGCUUACAAGUAGUCAGAGCCCGUUAAUGGGUGAUGGCGUGCCUUUUGUAGAAUGAACCGGCGAGUUACGAUUUGAUGCAAGGUUAAGCAGUAAAUGUGGAGCCGUAGCGAAAGCGAGUCUGAAUAGGGCGUUUAGUAUUUGGUCGUAGACCCGAAACCAGGUGAUCUACCCUUGGUCAGGUUGAAGUUCAGGUAACACUGAAUGGAGGACCGAACCGACUUACGUUGAAAAGUGAGCGGAUGAACUGAGGGUAGCGGAGAAAUUCCAAUCGAACCUGGAGAUAGCUGGUUCUCUCCGAAAUAGCUUUAGGGCUAGCCUCAAGUGAUGAUUAUUGGAGGUAGAGCACUGUUUGGACGAGGGGCCCCUCUCGGGUUACCGAAUUCAGACAAACUCCGAAUGCCAAUUAAUUUAACUUGGGAGUCAGAACAUGGGUGAUAAGGUCCAUGUUCGAAAGGGAAACAGCCCAGACCACCAGCUAA
Molecule: ribosomal RNA, 614 nt
Filed under: Staphylococcus aureus
Lineage: Bacteria; Bacillati; Bacillota; Bacilli; Caryophanales; Staphylococcaceae
Description: partial 23S ribosomal RNA
Rfam family: Bacterial large subunit ribosomal RNA
Source: RNAcentral